Molecule: long non-coding RNA, 1720 nt
Filed under: Amphibalanus amphitrite
Lineage: Eukaryota; Metazoa; Arthropoda; Thecostraca; Balanomorpha; Balanidae
Description: uncharacterized LOC122364064, transcript variant X2
Source: RNAcentral
CGAAAAUAAAUUGUUGGCUAUCUCCGCCAUUUCAAAAAUUAUAUAUCUUAAGUUGCAAGGAUUGUUCAUGGACAAAAUUAAUUUUUCACAAUCAAAAUUAAAAAUUGAAGGACAAAAAGUAAUAUCAAAGGCCAACUCCCUUUUGUUGAAUUUCGAAAUUACCAUGGUUCUGAGCUGUUCAGCCUACCGGACCUGCCAAUGCUCUACCAUGAAUUGUCGAGUAACUUCAGUGAUGUGGGGCUUACAUUAUGGUCAAAAAAUAUCAAAAUUGAAUUAUCUAUCAGAUUCUGUGCCUUUUGUUGCCUUUUAAAGGUUGGAAACUGUGUUUAGUUGAUGUUCAAUACAUAACCACCAUUGCUGUCCAUGGUCACCCUGUUCCACUAUAUGUAAUGAUUCUCAAAAACUAGAUCGAUGUGGGGUCUAAAUAUUUCACUAAAAUUAACAGAAUCGCUUACAUUAUAAUAUAUUAAAAUGUCAAAACGUAAGAAACGCGGGAACUUUAAAAGAUUUACGUCUAAUUCUAAAACUUUGAAUUUUGAAUACAAAACAGUUCUGGACGAAAACAUAGCUAGAUGGUGAACUAGUCAUUGUUGGGCUCACAAAGACCCUUUAUUGAAAUAAAAAUUCAAUUUUCUCCCAAAAUAUGUAUGAUUUAUUGCAGUUUAAGAAUCAAAAGAUGCAUUAUUUUGGUCUGGUAUGCGUUGGCUUCCUUGCCGCCUAAGGUCACACGGCUUGUUUCUGGCAGUGGUUCUGGAGACAGCGUGUCGAUCCAGCUGUAGAACGUCAUCCGGAGGUGGCAGAGUGUGCUGGCCAGCCACGCGGCGCGCGUAUCGACAUUGACCAGAAACUAUCACAUCAUCUCCAGGUCACUGGUCGAGGGCGCUCGAGCUGACGGUGUCUUCCGACGGCUCCACGGUGACCAGCGCCGCCACCGCCGAGACCAUCCGACUCCUGAAAUGCUAACGGCCGUGCACGAACAAGAGGCUCUAAGCAUCCAGGUGCAAGGCAAGCGCCAUGCUCAGAGGUGUCAUCCGAAGAAGGCCGCACAGUGCACUUUAGGGUGAGCUCGGGUGUAGUGCGCGCCGACGGAUAGGAUGAAAUGACGGGCCGGCCAUCAGAUUUCAGUGCGGGGAUCAAGGUGGUCGGAGCCGAUGUGGCUCGGUUGAUGGUGUGGCAGGGACCAGGGUUGAUUGAGAGUGAAAGCGAGACACCCGGAUCUGUAAAGAAUACGCCGAUACGGGUCUCGAACGUCGUCCCGCAAUUUGUGCUCUGUAAUAUGACGGCUAUGCCGUGGUAUCAUUCACUCUCGGUGCGCUAAUAAAUAAUUAAUAGGACAGAGGCUGGAAUUAAGAUAUUAUAUUUGGAUGUAAGGGGCAGGUUUGGGCCAGCGCUAUUUUAGAAAUCGUGAGCGUGCUAGUUGCAAUCAAUCGUGCGCUUCUUGUUGAGCAUCUGGAGCGAGAAAAUACUUUCUUUGGAACUUAGCAGUUCGUCGUGAAAUAUUUGUAUCUUUGGAGUCAGUUGUCAGAACAUGAAUGCAUUUUUGGUGUCCACUGCAGCUGCUGUUCUGGAACAGAAACAUGCCGAGAUCGGCUGUGUUUGUAUGUUGUGGCAAAAUCAAGCAGCCGUACCAUGAAUCAAAAGCGAUAUGUGAAUUAAAGUGAAUAUAUUUCACUAUUUUUCAGUUUUAUCAUACAGAUCACAGAAAUGCGUCAAAUACUGA